GAUGAACGCUGACAGAAUGCUUAACACAUGCAAGUCAACUUGAACUUCGGUUUGGGUGGCGGACGGGUGAGUAACGCGUAAAGAACUUGCCUCACAGCUAGGGACAACAUUUGGAAACGAAUGCUAAUACCUGAUAUUAUGAUUUUAGGGCAUCCUAGAAUUAUGAAAGCUAUAUGCGCUGUGAGAGAGCUUUGCGUCCCAUUAGCUAGUUGGAGAGGUAACGGCUCACCAAGGCGAUGAUGGGUAGCCGGCCUGAGAGGGUGAACGGCCACAAGGGGACUGAGACACGGCCCUUCCUCCUACGGGAGGAAGAAGGGGGGAAUAUUGGACAAUGGACCAAGAGUCUGAUCCAGCAAUUCUGUGUGCACGAUGAAGUUUUUCGGAAUGUAAAGUGCUUUCAGUUGGGAAGAAAAAAAUGACGGUACCAACAGAAGAAGUGACGGCUAAAUACGUG
Molecule: ribosomal RNA, 454 nt
Filed under: uncultured bacterium
Lineage: Bacteria
Description: partial 16S ribosomal RNA
Rfam family: Bacterial small subunit ribosomal RNA
Source: RNAcentral